UGUGUGUGUGUGUGUGUGUGUGUGUGUGUGUGUGUGUCUGUACCCCCAGGGCCUUGGGUUCCGCCUCCAGGUACUUCUGGUUCCUGUGGAUGUUCUUCUGGAAGCUGACCUCGACCAGGGGGGUCUGGGCUGGCCCGAUGCCGUCCUCCGCCAUGGCUGCUUCAUCUGAAAAACACAUGUCAUGUCGUGUGUGUUGUUAGUGAGCAAAACACGGCGAAGGAGAAGAAGAAGAAACAAGGAAGAACAUGCACUCGCAGGCGCGUUUGCAGCGGAAGCUUCCGUCUAUCAACCCGAGCACAACAUCUGGAUUUCAUCACUCCGGACCAACAACAACUCGGGUCCUCACGCGCCCUUUGCUCACCGUUAGCUGAAAACUGUGCGUAUUAAUAAAGCGUAUUUUUUAGUUUACCUGCCAUGGUCGCAGUAUCUUCAAGCUCUUCAAGCUAAAAAAAAACGAUGUCUUCCCCUUUUUAUCCUGGAUCUACUGGUCCCAGCCUGAAGUUUUGCAACAGUUUGGACAGUGAGAGUGGUCGAGUCCCGCCCCGCAUCUGUCACUGCAACAUGACUCUCUGCUGCACACUUCCUCUCAGCCCCGCUGUGAAAGCAGCCCUCUGAUUGGCUGACUGCAGGGGAUAAGUCGCUUCUAAAAAAUCUGCUGCCAUUUCACACUGGAGCACAGAGAGCAACACACAUUGCUGUUCAACACGGAGCAAGGGACCGGCAGCUGUCUGAACAAAAGGGAUGCAUGUUCCCAGCUUGGAAUCUUGGAAUGGGCCCCAAGUCCAAAGCGGAAGAUCACACACACACACACACAGAAUAUAUCAAACUUUAUUGUCACAGGUAGUUACAAACAGGCAAACAAAGUGCUCACACACUGUUGAUAACUUUACAUGCAGCAAGGUCCCUCAUUUCUCCUCACUUCACCGCAUUACCUGAUUGGAUGAACUCCAGCUGCACUACACUCACUCCUUCUCUCUGGCAAACUACUAAAGAAGCUGUUGGCCAACGCUGACACGGUGAUUGGCUAGUGAUUGAUUCCAGUCAGUCAUUUCCCAGCACAACAUUUUUAUCAUAAUAAGACAAGUAGGGGGUUUCUUCAUUAAAGGGAGGUCUAGCCUACUUAUAAGCCCGCUCACACAAAUAACAUUUUUUUUUUUUUAUUUCCCCCUCAUCCAGGUUUUGAAAUAUCAACUUCCACCAGAAUUACCUUAUUGGAUAAAGUGUAUUCCCUAUAAAACCAGUUUAGUUUGUGCAUUACACCAGGACAGUGAAGUGUAUCAGAGUGGACUUGAUGGGGAAGGAGAGAGGAGAUCUUGAGAUCUGAUGAAUGUAUGAGCCCAUUAAACAUUUAAUCAGACUGACCUACGCCGUAACAUGUCUAUGAAGACACAACAUCAGGUACAUAACAUAUUAAAAAGACAAUGGUUGGAACAGCAAUCAGAGCAAAUAAUGUUGAUAAGAUAGAAAUAAUCCCUUACUAACAUCCUAUUAAUUUUCCCUUUGUGCUGAUUGAUAAUGCAACAUGAAUAAUCACCAGUAAGGUUAGAGACUGGUUAACUUCCCUUCUUUUACGAUACACAAUCCCUGGAUAGCAGAAUACACAAGAUUUGAAUCUUUAAAACAACAUAGGGAUAACAAAACAUUUGACACCAUGCUAAUAUAGUGAAGUAAACAUUUGUGGAAGAAAAACCGUGGGUCAAAUCUGACUAUUUCCCUUCAUGACACCACGAUCACAGCUCUGACCACAAGUGUCAGUCUCCCACCCUAUUUUUAUGGCAUCACCACCAGGGGGAGAUAGAGAUUUUAAAGCCGGCCAUCUUCUAAUACAGUCACUGACUUA
Molecule: long non-coding RNA, 1840 nt
Organism: Pleuronectes platessa (European plaice)
Lineage: Eukaryota; Metazoa; Chordata; Actinopteri; Pleuronectiformes; Pleuronectidae
Exons: 2
Source: RefSeq, a predicted model, not a curated record